GGAUUCAGAGCAGAGAAUUGCACCCUGGCAUGAUGCCUAUGCCAGCUGGACUGUGUGAUUUUUGUUCUUUAGUAGAAGGAUAACAUGACAUAGCAGGAAUAAUACUGCCUUUUCUUUCUGGCAUGGAUCAAGAGAAAAGAAAAUACAAGAAAACAGACAGAAGAUCCUAUCUGCGACAAUUAAGAGCACUCUAAGAGGAAAACACAUCCCACCACACAAGGCAAGGUACUUCUAUGGAAGGGUGAGCCCUCACAGAUGGAGCAAUGGGGCGCGCACACCUGAACAAGGGAGGGGAAGGAGUUCUUAUCCCUGAUGCAUGUGACCCCUGCUGCUGUGUCCUUCCCCUAUUGGCUAAGGUUAGACCACACAGCCUAAACUAAUUCCGAUUGGCUAAUUCAAAGAGAGCGACGGGGGCUUCUGACAGCUUUGGAGAUUGUGACAUUGGAAUAAAGGAAAAACGUACAGGACUCAUGAAGCGCUGAAAUGUUCACAAAUAUCAAGCAAAAGUCAAUGAAAUUUAUUUUGAGCUAUUUACAUCAUUUAAUAAUUGAGCAAGGUAUACUCCUAUGAACAAAAUUUGGAGCAUGUUUGUCUCUCUCUGCCUGGCGUCUUCAGAAUUUGGAAACUAGUUAGUCAUGGAAAUUUAUUUUGAGCUAUUUACAGCAUUUAAUAAUUGAGCAAGGUAUACUCCUAUGAACAAAAUUUGGAGCAUGUUUGUCUCUCUCUGUCUGCCUGGCAUCUACAGAAUUUGGAAACUAGUUGUGCUGUACUGCAUGAGAAUGCCUGCAUUUAGUAUGCGAACUGGAAUUGGCAAAGGACGAUGGCUGCUCUCCCGCUAACUUUAAAUAAGUCAUGUCACAAAUUGCAUUCGUUCCCAGAUUUCCUAAACUUUCCAGAGAAAAUGGUCUUCUCCCUGGCUCAGCAAGAAGAUGAACUUUAAACACUGAGAAACUGGUCAUCUCCCUGGCUCAACCAGAAGAUGAACUUUAAACACUACUCUCAAUGACUUGAUGUUCCCAUCACUACUCCUGUCAUAAAGGGAGGGGACUCAGAUAUUGAGAAUUUUAUGAUAGUGUGAACUGUCUGGUAUGUCAUUUAAGUAAGCCCGUUGCUGAAAUAUUUUCCAUGUUAUUAGAAAGAGCUGAAGAGAGGGAUUGAGAUGGCUUCUUUAUUUUUUGUCUUUUGGGAAUUAAAGGAACCUGGUUCAACAAGGGCCUACACCUAAGUCUCUUGUUGUACCAGAGUACAAUUUAGGACUGCUCCUGAGGAAGGAAUUAGCUAGAAAUCUAGAGAGUAAGGGUAACAGAUUUACAUAGAAUAACAGCCUCAGUAUUUUUGGUUCCUCUCCAGUAAAGAUCACAAAGAAUAUUGCUAAAUCGCUAAAACACCUUUGCAAUAACGUAAGGGCUUACAACUAUAUACCAAUGUAGCUCAGUUACUAAACUGGAGUAAACUAAUUUCUCUUGUGUAGAAAAAUUGGUUGGCUGUGGUUUUAUAGCAGAUCUGCAAUUAUUAAUAGUUAUGCCAAUAAUCGUUUAACAGUGCAUAUGUUAAUAUAUAUGGAAAGACAAUGUGUAUAGACAGAUGUGUAAAAUUGAAAAAUAAACAUAUAACAAGAGAGAAACAUCUAUCGAACAGACAAUAUACAUACACAUCAAACACAACAGCAGUUUUAGUGACCAUAAUAUUUAUUUCUCAUUUUUACAUUGCUUACUUUAGUGACAACUGAAAAUGACAGUUGGCAAUGCAGCUAACAGUUUCAAUAAAAGUAUAAAACAAAAGACUGUGUACAAAGCACCUGUCUUUCCGCUUUUGUAAUCUUCCGUUGGAAAAAAUUUACACACCUAAGUAACCAUCUGUUUUCUUCAAGAAAAAAUCAUUCUUAUUUCUCUCUCUCAUCUUGAAAACAGCUGUCAGCCAGGAGGGCAGAGCUGAAAUUUAUUGCCACAUCACAUGAAGCAUAGAACAGACUCCACUACUCCUUGAGAUUCAAAACUUUGCCUCUCACAAAGUUACCUUUUAUUUUCCUCUUGUUUGUCACUCAUCUCCCCUAGUGUGCUCUUUUUAUUUCUUUUACUAUUAAUAAUAAAAUCUGUGGAUGAC
RNAcentral lists this long non-coding RNA (2103 nucleotides) under Homo sapiens (human). RNAcentral describes it as "long intergenic non-protein coding RNA 320". The record is from RNAcentral. Lineage: Eukaryota; Metazoa; Chordata; Mammalia; Primates; Hominidae.